GCACUACUGAGGAGUCCCACAACAGAACGAAACGGCCGUCCACUGC
This 46-nucleotide non-coding RNA is filed under the name Schistosoma mattheei. Lineage: Eukaryota; Metazoa; Platyhelminthes; Trematoda; Strigeidida; Schistosomatidae. The record is from RNAcentral.